UCCGAAUUGGUCUAGUGGCUAGGAUUUCUCGCUCUCACGGUCUCACGACCAAGCGCCGAGGAGGCCGGGGUUCAAUUCCCCGAUUCGGAG
This is a non-coding RNA of Cryoendolithus antarcticus, 90 nucleotides long. The record is from the annotation of a GenBank genome assembly. NCBI's taxonomy places the organism in Eukaryota, Fungi, Ascomycota, Dothideomycetes, Cladosporiales, Cladosporiaceae.